GAUGAAGAACGUAGCGAAAUGCGAUAAGUAAUGUGAAUUGCAGAAUUCAGUGAAUCAUCGAAUCUUUGAACGCACAUUGCGCCCGCCAGUAUUCUGGCGGGCAUGCCUGUUCGAGCGUCGUUACAACCCUCAGGCCCCCGGGCCUGGCGUUGGGGAUCGGCGGAAGCCCCCUGUGGGCACACGCCGUCCCUCAAAUACAGUGGCGGUCCCGCCGCAGCUUCCAUUGCGUAGUAGCUAACACCUCGCAACUGGAGAGCGGCGCGGCCAUGCCGUAAAACACCCAACUUCUGAAUGUUGACCUCGAAUCAGGUAGGAAUACCCGCUGAACUUAAGCAUAUCAAUAAGCGGAGGA
This 352-nucleotide unclassified non-coding RNA is filed under the name soil metagenome. RNAcentral's name for it is "partial contains 5.8S ribosomal RNA, internal transcribed spacer 2, and large subunit ribosomal RNA". The stretch from base 1 to 120 matches the Rfam family "5.8S ribosomal RNA", at positions 35 to 154 of the family's 154-position model. The record is from RNAcentral.